GCUGGACACAGCAAAUGUAAGGUUAUACUCAUUGUUUGUCACACACAUAACUUUAGCCUAAAAAAAUUCUACAUUAAUUCUUUAUUAACUAUUUCUAUUUAAGUGUUAGUAGAAAAAAAUUUAAAAAACCUUAUUCAUACUGUACAUGAUUUAACAAACAAUGUUUAACAGCCCCCUUUCAGUUGUCCCGUUUCCAAGUCUUGAAACUGGUUCUUCUUUGUUCUUGGAUGGCUAAUUUCUGCUUAAUUUCUCCUUUUAAGCAAUACAAAAACAUACAUCCUUUCCAUCUACAAACUGUGUGUCUUAUCUUAAAGGUUAUAGGAUUCUCAGGCAGGUUUCUCAAGCAACCAAAAGUAUUAACAACAUUAUUCUCAGGCAAGUUUUUUUCAGACAAGCAAAAAUUUUAGAGCAUCAGUCCCAGGCAGGCCUCUCAGGUAAACCAAGCAAAGCUAUUUAACAGUAUUAACAACUUCUUCAAGAGUAGCUUUGCUUUUGCACUGCAGUGUAAAAUAUUCCUGCCUAGAAGGACUGUUUCAAAGCACUGAGACUGUUCAGGGCAGAUGUGAACACACCUUUUGGUGUCUCCUUGCAGCAAGCAUUUGGUGACUGACAAGUAUUUUGAACUUCAUUUUUUUUAGGAAUAACACGCGGUAUCUCUGGAAAAGAAUCCCUCCUGCCAUCAGAUCUGCAAAUGCUGAACGUGGUGCAGUUUGGUCAGUGGGACAGAGAAUCUGACAGAGAGACUUGGAAGCACUCAGAGGUCCAAAGUGACCUUGUGUGGGCAGCAGGGAAUUGCCUGAAAUGAUUCCUGUGUGCUCAAACACUAAUUAUGAGAAAUGAGAACUGUUGCCAAAUUUGUGUAGGUUUUCCUGAAAGGAUUUUAGGUAUCGGGUGUAAAUAAAAACCUCAUGACAAAACCUUGUAAAAA
Long non-coding RNA from Chiroxiphia lanceolata (lance-tailed manakin), 928 nucleotides. RefSeq lists it as uncharacterized. The record is from RefSeq and is a predicted model, not a curated record. The transcript is spliced from 2 exons. NCBI's taxonomy places the organism in Eukaryota, Metazoa, Chordata, Aves, Passeriformes, Pipridae.